GCGGUAAUACGGAGGGUGCAAGCGUUAAUCGGAAUUACUGGGCGUAAAGCGCACGCAGGCGGUUUGUUAAGUCAGAUGUGAAAUCCCCGGGCUCAACCUGGGAACUGCAUUUGAAACUGGCAAGCUAGAGUCUCGUAGAGGGGGGUAGAAUUCCAGGUGUAGCGGUGAAAUGCGUAGAGAUCUGGAGGAAUACCGGUGGCGAAGGCGGCCCCCUGGACGAAGACUGACGCUCAGGUGCGAAAGCGUGGGGAGCAAACAGGAUUAGAUACCCUGGUAGUCCACGCUGUAAACGAUGUCGAUUUGGAGGUUGUGCCCUUGAGGCGUGGCUUCCGGAGCUAACGCGUUAAAUCGACCGCCUGGGGAGUACGGCCGCAAGGUUAAAACUCAAAU
Molecule: ribosomal RNA, 390 nt
Filed under: uncultured Serratia sp.
Lineage: Bacteria; Pseudomonadati; Pseudomonadota; Gammaproteobacteria; Enterobacterales; Yersiniaceae
Description: bacterial SSU rRNA
Rfam family: Bacterial small subunit ribosomal RNA
Source: RNAcentral